Molecule: long non-coding RNA, 618 nt
Organism: Hippocampus comes (tiger tail seahorse)
Lineage: Eukaryota; Metazoa; Chordata; Actinopteri; Syngnathiformes; Syngnathidae
Exons: 3
Source: RefSeq, a predicted model, not a curated record
CUGUGCACGUUGUAUUUCGGAACUCGAUGAGCUGCAACGAAGAAGGUGUCAUUUUUAUUUCUGUUUAUAACAAAAGCAUUCUGAACUCUGAAAAAAGAUGUUCGGUUGAGGCCGACUUUAAAAUAAAAUAAUUGUCCACCUGAGUACUGCUUGUAUUCAUGAAAUGAAAGCCAAACUUGCAUGAUCCACCUGGAGCCUACCAAAAAUGCUGUCUGCUUCUGUGGUCCGUCGUCAUUCAUCACAUGCACUCUGUGCUGCGCGAAGGUGUGUUGAUGCCUGAUGCAAACAUGCGCUUGCCGAGGGACUUCAAAUUUGUCAACGGGGGAAGAGAUGCUGAUGAAGAAUUAAGAACUAUGGCCACCUACCUGGUUUGGAUGCCCCCGAGUUGCUGUCUAACUUGACUUAAAAAUAUAUACAGUAUUUGCAAAAAAAAUAGGUACCUGGUUUAUGAAAUGUAUUUAUUUUUGCUUCUGUUGGCAUCGUCAGGGCUGCAUGAUUUUUUGUUGUUUUGAUGAUUUUUUUUGCGCCUGUAAUGGGCAGCAUUUUUCACAGCCCCGUUUUGUUUAGCGGAGAUAUCGGCGCUGUCGGACAGUCUGCGCUGGUGCAGGUGGAUGGUUG